RNAcentral lists this ribosomal RNA (467 nucleotides) under uncultured bacterium. Its description in RNAcentral is "partial 16S ribosomal RNA". It matches the Rfam family "Bacterial small subunit ribosomal RNA", at positions 29 to 507 of the family's 1533-position model. The record is from RNAcentral.
ACGAGCGCUGGCGGCGUGCUUAACACAUGCCAGUCGAACGGAAAGGCCCUGCUUUUGUGGGGUGCUCGAGUGGCGAACGGGUGAGUAACACGUGAGUAACCUGCCCUUGACUUUGGGAUAACUUCAGGAAACUGGGGCUAAUACCGGAUAGGAGCUCCUGCUGCAUGGUGGGGGUUGGAAAGUUUCGGCGGUUGGGGAUGGACUCGCGGCUUAUCAGCUUGUUGGUGGGGUAGUGGCUUACCAAGGCUUUGACGGGUAGCCGGCCUGAGAGGGUGACCGGCCACAUUGGGACUGAGAUACGGCCCAGACUCCUACGGGAGGCAGCAGUGGGGAAUAUUGCACAAUGGGCGGAAGCCUGAUGCAGCAACGCCGCGUGCGGGAUGACGGCCUUCGGGUUGUAAACCGCUUUCGCCUGUGACGAAGCGUGAGUGACGGUAAUGGGUAAAGAAGCACCGGCUAACUACGUG